GAUGAACGCUAGCGGCAGGCUUAAUACAUGCAAGACGAACGGUAAGUGUUGUAGCAAUAUAGCACGAGAGUGUCGUACGGGUGCGUAACACGUAUGCAACCUACCUUGUACAGGAGGAUAGCUCGGGGAAACUCGAAUUAACCCUCCAUAAUAUAUUUGAAUGGCAUCAUUUGAAUAUUAAAACCUUGGUGGUACAAGAUGGGCAUGCGUCUGAUUAGAGUUGGUAGUGUAAUGGACUACCAAGACGAUGAUCAGUAGGGGACCUGAGAGGGUGAUCCCCAC
This 282-nucleotide ribosomal RNA is filed under the name uncultured bacterium. RNAcentral describes it as "partial 16S ribosomal RNA". It matches the Rfam family "Bacterial small subunit ribosomal RNA", at positions 28 to 311 of the family's 1533-position model. The record is from RNAcentral.